AUUGAACGCUGGCGGCAUGCCUUACACAUGCAAGUCGAACGGCAGCGGGGGAGAAGCUUGCUUUUCCUGCCGGCGAGUGGCGAACGGGUGAGUAAUACAUCGGAACGUGCCCUGUAGUGGGGGAUAACUAGUCGAAAGAUUAGCUAAUACCGCAUACGACCUGAGGGUGAAAGUGGGGGACCGCAAGGCCUCAUGCUAUAGGAGCGGCCGAUGUCUGAUUAGCUAGUUGGUGGGGUAAAGGCCUACCAAGGCGACGAUCAGUAGCUGGUCUGAGAGGACGAUCAGCCGCACUGGAACUGGGACACGGCCCAGACUCCUACGGGAGGCAGCAGUGGGGAAUUUUGGACAAUGGGCGAAAGCCUGAUCCAGCAAUGCCGCGUGUGUGAAGAAGGCCUUCGGGUUGUAAAGCACUUUUGUCCGGAAAGAAAUGGCUCUGGUUAAUACCUGGGGUCGAUGACGGUACCGGAAGAAUAAGGACCGGCUAACUACGUGCCAGCCGCCGCGGUAA
Molecule: ribosomal RNA, 508 nt
Filed under: uncultured bacterium
Lineage: Bacteria
Description: partial 16S ribosomal RNA
Rfam family: Bacterial small subunit ribosomal RNA
Source: RNAcentral